AAUCUCUGGCAGACCUCGUGAUUACGGCUGAUUAUGGAGGAGUCUCCCGAGGGUGCGCUGAUCUUCCGUGCGUCUUUUACUUGAAGAAGACAUAACAACGCCAAAUGUCAGGCAUGCAGCAGCAGUGCAGUUACGUGAUGCGCGAUACUGGAAUUGCCCUGGAUGAGAAGUAAAAGCAGGAAACUGAUUACUUCAGACUGAGUUUCCUCUGUACAAGUGGGAAUGUCGUUCAUCACCCGAGACUGAACACCAGGAAUGUGUUUUAGCAAUGACAGCCUUUGGAAGGCUCAUGUGCAAAUGACAGCAUGAAUUCAGAAAGGUCCGGGAUAUAUGAUGAAUUUAUUACCUCCUGUUUUACUUAUGCCUUUUUCCUCAUCAUUAAGCCCUGUUACAGGCUGUUUCCAAAGUGGAGCCAAUGCCGACCCAGCACUGUGGCCGCGCAAAGCCUCCCAGGCCCAGGGGGCUGGAGCCAGCCCUGCAAGGAUGCCCCAGAGAUGCUCUCCUUCCCACCAGCUCCUCAGCCUACAGCGAGGGCUCAGCCAGGUUCAAUGAGCUCUAUCUACACACAGCAGAAUUUGGAACAAAGUGGACUUAAUCCAACAGACUUUUUUCUCUAUUUCUCAACUCAUAUGACUGCUUCAGAGCAGGUCAGCCAGCUGCAGGAAGGAAAGAAAGCGGAGCGUCAUGUUUAUCGCUGCUGCUUGGUAAUGGUUUACAAUUCAGGUGGAUGUGUACAGUGCCUGAGCCUUUGA
Molecule: long non-coding RNA, 752 nt
Organism: Struthio camelus australis
Lineage: Eukaryota; Metazoa; Chordata; Aves; Struthioniformes; Struthionidae
Source: Ensembl